This 468-nucleotide ribosomal RNA is filed under the name uncultured bacterium. Its description in RNAcentral is "partial 16S ribosomal RNA". It matches the Rfam family "Bacterial small subunit ribosomal RNA", at positions 43 to 523 of the family's 1533-position model. The record is from RNAcentral.
CAUGCUUAACUCAUGCAAGUCGAACGGCAGCGGGUUGCAAGCUUGCUUGCAAUGCCGGCGAGUGGCGGACGGGUGAGUAAUGCGUAGGAAUCUGCCCUUAGGAGGGGAAUAACUUGUGGAAACGCAAGCUAAUACCGCAUAAGCCUGAGAAGGGAAAGCAGGGGACCGUAAGGCCUUGCGCCUAAGGAUGAGCCUACGUUAGAUUAGCUAGUUGGUUGGGUAAAGGCCUACCAAGGCGAUGAUCCAUAGCUGGUCUGAGAGGAUGAUCAGCCACACUGGGACUGAGACACGGCCCAGACUCCUACGGGAGGCAGCAGUGGGGAAUAUUGGACAAUGGGGGCAACCCUGAUCCAGCCAUGCCGCGUGAGUGAUGAAGGCCUUAGAGUUGUAAAGCUCUUUUAGCGGGGAAGAUAAUGACGGUACCCGCAGAAAAAGCCCCGGCUAACUUCGUGCCAGCAGCCGCAGUAA